ACCUCGGAUCAGGUAGGAAGACCCGCUGAACUUAAGCAUAUCAAUAAGCGGAGGAAAAGAAACCAACAGGGAUUGCCCUAGUAACGGCGAGUGAAGCGGCAACAGCUCAAAUUUGAAAUCUGGCUUCGGCCCGAGUUGUAAUUUGCAGAGGAAGCUUUAGGCGCGGCACUUUCUGAGUCCCCUGGAACGGGGCGCCAUAGAGGGUGAGAGCCCCGUAUAGUUAGAUGCCUAGCCUGUGUAAAGCUCCUUCGACGAGUCGAGUAGUUUGGGAAUGCUGCUCAAAAUGGGAGGUAAAUUUCUUCUAAAGCUAAAUACCGGCCAGAGACCGAUAGCGCACAAGUAGAGUGAUCGAAAGAUGAAAAGCACUUUGAAAAGAGGGUUAAAUAGCACGUGAAAUUGUUGAAAGGGNAAGCGCUUGUGACCAGACUUGCGCCGGGCAGAUCAUCCGGUGUUCUCACCGGUGCACUCUGCCCGGCUCAGGCCAGCAUCGGUUCUCGCGGGGGGAUAAAGGCCCUGGGAACGUAGCUCCUCCGGGAGUGUUAUAGCCCGGGGCGUAAUGCCCUCGCGGGGACCGAGG
RNAcentral lists this ribosomal RNA (577 nucleotides) under Chaetomium sp. C_1_BESC_294y. RNAcentral describes it as "eukaryotic LSU rRNA". It matches the Rfam family "Eukaryotic large subunit ribosomal RNA", at positions 1 to 591 of the family's 3401-position model. The record is from RNAcentral. Lineage: Eukaryota; Fungi; Ascomycota; Sordariomycetes; Sordariales; Chaetomiaceae.